UCAGAAAUUUUCUAUUUAUUUAAUCAUAGUUCACAUUUCAGUUUCUUCUUUUCUUCUUUAUUUGGAAUAUUAUACUCACGUUCUCUUUUUAACAACAUACUGACAUGUUGAUAUUGAUUUUUUGAUGACUAUGCUGUGUCAAUCAGCAGAACCGUUUAACUGUUCCUUUUAGGCUAAAUAUAGGUGAAUGUGGUGGCUGGCCAGAGGAAGUAGAAAUGCCUUACGAGGAGUUGGAAAAUCUCCAGAAUUACGCGAAAUGAAUUUUGUUUGGAGUCUAAAUUCACCAUUGGCGUCGAAUUUGCAACUAGGACCCUUCAGGUCACAGGGAAGACAGUCAAGGCACAAAUAUGGGACACAACGAGGCAGGAAAGGUACAGAGCCAUAAACAGUGCUUAGUACAAAGGAUCCGUGGGAGCACUCUUGGUCUAUGAGAUAACCAAGAUACAAACUUUUGCAAACGGCACUGAUAAAUGGUGUUCAUGAAAAAGCAAAGAAUCGAAUCAAACUGAUAAUUGAACCGAACUGGAGAAAAAACACUACAUUUUCUUGGUUUUGGUUUUAGAUUUUAAAGACCGAUAAUAUUUAGUUUGGUUUUGAUUUUAAACAAACUAUUAAAAAAAAAAAAAUAUUGUUGAAAUCUGAACUUGAUGUGUGUGUCAAAAAUAAGUUAUUUGCAAUAUCCAAAACUUAAGACAAAAAGGUUUAUGGUUUUCAUAAUGGUGUUCAAAUUCUUCUUAGCAACAACUUUAGAGAUUGCUCUUUUUUCGGUGUCUCUGCUAAAUGAUUAUUACGUCCUAAAAAGUGGGAUCUUUGUGCAAUUAUCACAUUAAUUGCUUGAAUGUUGUUAGUAUUGUUCAU
Lycium ferocissimum is the source of this 858-nucleotide long non-coding RNA. RefSeq lists it as uncharacterized. NCBI's taxonomy places the organism in Eukaryota, Viridiplantae, Streptophyta, Magnoliopsida, Solanales, Solanaceae. The record is from RefSeq and is a predicted model, not a curated record. The transcript is spliced from 4 exons.